AUGCGUCAGUACUUGUGGGGCAUUGAGAAAGGAAAGAGUAAGAUGGCAUGGCUUAGCUGGGACAAGAUGAGAUUAUCUAAAGCUAUGGGAGGCAUGGGUUUUAGAGAUAUGAGGGCUUUUAACCAGGCAUUACUUGCUAAACAGGCAUGGCGCCUCAUUGAUACACCAAAUAGCCUAUGUGCUAGAUUGUUGAAGGCAAAGUAUUUUCCUGCGGGGCAUUUGCUUGACACGGUCUUUCCCAAUAGCGGCUCGGCAGUUUGGAAAGGAAUUUUGCAUGGUCUUGACUUACUAAAGAAGGGUAUUAUUUGGCGUGUAGGGGAUGGUGCUUCAAUCAGGACCUGGAGGGAUCCAUGGAUCCCAAGGGCUUCCUCCUUUCGCCCCAUAACACCGAAACGUACA
RNAcentral lists this ribosomal RNA (399 nucleotides) under Triticum aestivum (bread wheat). RNAcentral describes it as "partial small subunit ribosomal RNA". Lineage: Eukaryota; Viridiplantae; Streptophyta; Magnoliopsida; Poales; Poaceae. The record is from RNAcentral.